Long non-coding RNA from Tympanuchus pallidicinctus (lesser prairie-chicken), 899 nucleotides. RefSeq lists it as uncharacterized. NCBI's taxonomy places the organism in Eukaryota, Metazoa, Chordata, Aves, Galliformes, Phasianidae. The record is from RefSeq and is a predicted model, not a curated record. The transcript has 3 exons.
CCGUCCCUGGAGUGUUCAAGAGACAGCUGGAUGACGUGCUGCGUGACGUGGUUUAGUGCUUGUGGUGGCAAUGGUGAUGAGGAGAUGGUUGGACUGGAUGAUCUUAUAGGUCAUUUCCAACUUUGUGAUUCUAUGAUUCUAUGAUUCAGAGUGCUGUUGCACAGUGUCCAGUACACACUGUUAAUCAUUAGUUAUUUUUUCUGCCAUUAGUAUAGAUGAAGAUAGGAGAGUUUCUCAGGCACCUCUCUGAAGUCAUUGAACCAGUUUCUCCUCAGCUGAGACACAGACCUGUAGGAAGAAGCGAGAUUUUCCUCAUAUUGUCAAAGUAGACUAGCCACUUCAUCUACCGUUGGUUGUUUGUUAUCUUUCCAGAUCACUCAUGCCAAGAUGCUGGCAUGCAAUGAUGGGUGCACUCCAUAAAACUCUCUGCCACAUAAAUUGCGUGCAUUUGACUUUAUCUGUAUAUUGAGAUGGCAUAUUAUCAUCCAGAUCACUUGUGAACAAAUGUGAACAGAGGAACAGCAUGUUGAAAGUUUCCAUGGAAAUAAAUGGGAGGCAUUACUUACAGAACAACCUACAUGUAUUGCUUUCUGUAUGACUGUGAGUACGGGUGAACACAUGCAUGCAUGUAGGUUGUAUAUGUACCACAAUUUUUCUGACAGCAUAUCUUCCUUCUGUGCUCUUUUUUUUUUGUGUGUGUGUUUUGUUUUGUUUUUAAUGUCUCAGUAGCUCUGUUUUCUGACAUUUGUUUCUUCUACCGUUAAUUGUCUAUUCAAUCUUAUGUAUGCAUUUUUUGUUUUAUUGCUUUAAUCAGUAUCCUAUUCAUUCUAUGUUUAUGUGACAUAGUUUUUGUUUCUUUGUUACAAGACCUUCAAAUAAACUUAUUUUCAAUAAUUUCA